CCCCCGCGCCGCGCCAACCCGGGACUCGGCCUCUAGGGUCCGGCCCGCCCCGCCCUCUCCCCGGCGGGAGACUCUGCCCGGCGAUACCCGAGCCCGCCUGAGUGGGAGGGAGCGGAGCCCCUCCGUGCGCUUCUUUUUCCUGUCCGCUGCGGCCUGCACGGUGGCGACUUUCUAACUUCGCCGACCGGGAAGCCGUUUGGGUUCCGCCCGCGCUCCAUCCGGGCCUCGGAGCCUCCUUUUUAAGAAACGGACCCAGAACGCCCGUGCUUCUGGCCCCGCGUCUCCGUUUAAAGUUCACCCCUUCUUUAGAGCUAUUUUCCGACCUCCGCUCAACAACGACCACCCAAACCAAACCAACGACAAAAAAUCCAGCUUUGGGCCCAUCCUUUGGAGUCUCUAGCACGGACCUCUCGCCCCGCUACCCAGGGUCCAGACUAGGUGACCGCAAACAUUUGAGUGAGAGAAUCUUCCUUUGGCGGUGGUGGUGCGGUGAGGACGACAGUAAUGGAGGAAUGACUGGUCCUACCCCGCGAUACCACACCACUCUAAACGCCGUUUAAUCCACUUCGCCCCUAUCCCCAGAUGUUCUUCCUUGUUGGGAUCUACCACUUCCGUGGGGGAGGAGAUUCUGCCGUACCCUUCUUUGACCCUUCAGCCACCUCAAGGCCGCCCUGCUUCUGGUGAAGCUAUUUGCUCCUAAUGCUGAGCAGAUGUACAUUGUUAAUCACUUGAAAGAGAGCCCAGCAGAAGAGAAAUGUGCUGGAGGAAGUGCCGGGAGAGCCCGUGGGGACAUAGAAGAUUUGGCAGACCUGAACUCCAGCAAGCUUGAAGCUGUCAUUAUACCAGUGGUUUUGGGAUGGCCCAGGACUGCCCUAUCAGCGGUUCUGUGGAGGACUCCUUUGGCUGCAUUUCCCACAUGCUGGCAGCUGACACCUUCCUGCUGAGAAGUCACAGUGGGUUGGGAUAAUCUUGUGGAUGGAGGGGGAGAAAAAGGAUGAAAAGCUUACUGCCUGGUAUCUUCUCUUCUGGUAGGUUUGAUGAUGCUGCCGGGGCCACUGCUGUGCAGAAGUCCGACUGUGCUCAGGGCUGCGGGGAGGGGGCUCCUGCCAGGCCACUGCCCACAGAGUGGCUCAGAGGUGGCCCCUCCACGGGAGCCAUGUGUAGAGAGAGGUUCUGUUUUGUCCCGGGAAGAACCAAAAACUAUGGAUUCCACCUAUGGAAGGUUUACAUUCCCACCGGGGAGGAGUGAGGAAGCACCGCUGGCCCAGAAUAGGUACAGAGCACUUUCCUUGUCUUACGUACUGAGUUUGCUUGUAUCUCUGCUCCCAGCUUAUGGAUUAUGAACUCAUGAUUGCAAGAGGUUUUUGUCUGUUUUGUUGACUGCUUUAUCGCCUGCACCAGGAACAUCCUCUGGCAUAAGAAGCCCUUGAUAUAAAUUUGUUGAUAAAGAACGCCCACCAUUUAUUCAGAGUCUCCAAAGAGGUUCCCCUUAUAAGCUAAUACAGACCUUAAGGUGGGGUCAUAGGGCAUGUAGCUGACUGUGAUAUCUUUUUCAGAUAAAGGCUUCCAAGCAAAGUUGUUAUAAAAUAUAUAAAAACAUAUAUAUAUAUAUAUAUAUAUAUAUAUAUA
Lutra lutra (Eurasian river otter) is the source of this 1629-nucleotide long non-coding RNA. RefSeq lists it as uncharacterized. The transcript has 5 exons. Lineage: Eukaryota; Metazoa; Chordata; Mammalia; Carnivora; Mustelidae. The record is from RefSeq and is a predicted model, not a curated record.